UACGGGGGGAGCAAGCGUUGUUCGGAUUUACUGGGCGUAAAGGGCGUGUAGGCGGCUCGAUAAGUCUGCUGUGAAAGUCCAAGGCUCAACUUUGGAAAGCCGGUGGAUACUGUCGAGCUCGAGUCCGGAAGAGGCGAGUGGAAUUCCUGGUGUAGCGGUGAAAUGCGCAGAUAUCAGGAGGAACACCAAUGGCGAAGGCAGCUCGCUGGGACGGUACUGACGCUGAGACGCGAAAGCGUGGGGAGCAAACAGG
RNAcentral lists this ribosomal RNA (253 nucleotides) under uncultured bacterium. RNAcentral's name for it is "partial 16S ribosomal RNA". It matches the Rfam family "Bacterial small subunit ribosomal RNA", at positions 524 to 776 of the family's 1533-position model. The record is from RNAcentral.